Long non-coding RNA from Corythoichthys intestinalis (scribbled pipefish), 2174 nucleotides. RefSeq lists it as uncharacterized. Lineage: Eukaryota; Metazoa; Chordata; Actinopteri; Syngnathiformes; Syngnathidae. The transcript is spliced from 3 exons. The record is from RefSeq and is a predicted model, not a curated record.
GGGCCACGCCAUGGGAAAGUGGGGGUGGAUGCCGGGAACAGCUGCGAUCGUAACUGGAGACAUGGAUGGAUAAAUGGAGGUGAAGAAAGGAGAAUGAGUGUGAUUGAUUCGUUAAUACAGUUUACAUCAUAUGGGACAGCACUACUGAUUGGGAAGGCCUUGGGUAGAUUAGAUUGACCUGAGGGGGACACUGUACACCUGUACACGCAUGCGUAAUGCGUAAUAUGGUAUAUCUCAAUGAAUUAGUGUACUAUUUCUAGUGAUUUUCCUUGGCAAUGGCAACUGAUCGUGUCUUUAGCAAUUUAGAGGAAUUUGAUGAAUUUUGUUUCUGUACCAAUUGCUUAUACCAAUGUUGUUUUUGGCAGCCCUUCUCAUUUUCGUCUUUCGAAUGAAAUACUUACCGUAUUUUUCAGACUAUAAGUCGCAGUUUUUUUUCAUAGUUUGGCUCGGGGUGCAACUUAUACUCAGAAGCGACUUAUUAGUGUAAUUAUUAACACAUUAUUAUAUCAUUUCACGUGUUAUUUAGGUGUUUUGGAGUGACAUUUAUGGUUUGGUAAACUUGUUAGAAUGUUCUUUAUGCUAUAGGUAUUUGAAUAACUGUUAAUAGCUAUGGCCACGUUCGUGUUCUGCCUUUGGCAAUGUAUGUUCAAUUGCAUUAUUUACUUUUUUAUAUAGAAAUGCAUGCUUUUAGUUUCUGGCGCUUACAAGCCCAAGUGGGGGCGCACUCGCACUUGUUUACGCGAAGAAGAGCGCUCACACGCCAGAAGAAGUCGGACAGCUACGCAGCGUCUGAGCGAGUGGGCAAGAGAGCGAGAGAAACACGGCUGCGAACCUACAGUACGUUCAUUGUUUAUGCUUGUAAAAUAUCUCUACAGAGGCAGCGCCUGUGUAUCAUCUUUUCUGUUGUUGUGUGUUUUCCACCCGUGAUCGGACACUUAGAGCCAGUUGUGUGGUUGUUUGAACAAUGUGCUAAUGCUUGCGAACGCAUGCUAACGUUUGUGUCAUUGCUGUAAUAGCAGGUAAUUAUCAUUUAUUUACGUUCAUGCGAACCUGUUUGGUAUCGAGGACGAAAUGGAUUUGUAUUAUUUCUAUUUUUAAGUUUCACGCUUCAAAUGAUGGCGUCAUAACGACGGCCAAAAUAAAGUCAGCAAAUUAUACGGACGUCUAGCAUCGUCAUUUGGGAGUUUAGCUCGCUGUAUAGCCAGGACCAAGCCGUAGCGUCCUGGUGAGAACAGUACAUUCCCAUUUCGUUGUUCAUGUAUCAUGUAACAUUAUAAUACUUUACACUUGUUCAACAUGUUGUUCUCUAUUGUAUUUUUAUUCUAAAUUGCCUUUCAAGAUGACAUCUGUUCUAUGUGUUGUAUUUUAUCAAGUAAAUUUCCCCAAAAAAUGCAACUUAUACUCCGGUGCGACUUUUAUGUUUUUUUUUCUCUUUGUUGGGCAUUUUAUUGCUGGUCCGACUUAUACUCAGGUGCGACUUAUAGUCUGAAAAAUACGGUAUUGGUCUUAGCUAUAUUUUUGUCAUUUCAAAAUGUGUUAGUCUUCGUAUAGUUUCGUCAACAAAUACUUAUAAUGUCUUUGUCUGUAAAAAUUUAAAGAUUUUCGUCCCCCCCAAAAAAAAGGUUUGCAAAAAUUUUGAAUGAACAUUGACAGACGAGCACAUAUUGUAGCAUCUACAAUCAGGGAGUGCCAAAACGAUUAUUAGAUGCACCGUGAUUCGACUACGAUUCAUAAAUGUUCAAAAACGAUGAUUUUCCCUUAUAACUUUAUGACAGCCACUUGUAGCGGAAUGAAAUUCAAGACACAUCUGCCGCCCGGACACCUUUAACGGACGCACGCAUGACGUUAUGAUGGAUGCUGCCGGUUACUGAGCGAGAGAUUUACUCCUUUUCAAAACGCUGGAAAAAAAUUUGUGUAUGAGACAGGCAGGGACCUGGCGGUCGUGCUUCUGUGUGCAAGUUAUUUUUUUAGAGCGAGAGGGGAAGAGAGAUAGUUCGUUGCGCCUUUUCUUUCAGAUGUCCAGCAGUAAUUGGAAGAAGUCCCUAGUGCUUUGCUAAGUCCCGCGUCCGUCUAUCAGAGACACCGCGGAACCGCUUUUGUUUCAACCCAGCCAUAAAAAGCUGUGUCUUGACACUCGGUGCUACAUGCUACAUGGAGUUUUGGAUCGAAAUAAG